This is a non-coding RNA of Pelobates cultripes (western spadefoot toad), 289 nucleotides long. The record is from the annotation of a GenBank genome assembly. Lineage: Eukaryota; Metazoa; Chordata; Amphibia; Anura; Pelobatidae.
CAAAAAGACAACUCUGUUACGCAGAGUAGCUGUUGACAUUAUAGUUGCGCAGGAACUUUGUUGACUCUAGAGAACCUCGGGCAAAUCGCACUUCCCCGUGGUGGCGGCUUUGCAUGCGGAUGUCAUCCAUAUCAACUUUCGAUGCCAGUUUCUGCGCCUACCAUGGUGACCACGGGUAACGGGGAAUCAGGGUUCCAUUCCAUACAGGGACCUUGAGAAACGGCUACCACAAGCAAGGAAGGCAGCAGGCGUGCAAAUGACCCACUCCCAACGAGGGAAGGUAGUGACG